AAUACGUUCCCGGGUCUUGUACACACCGCCCGUCACACCAUGGGAGCGGGUUUUACCAGAAGUAGGUAGCUUAACCGUAAGGGGGGCGCUUACCACGGUAGGAUUCGUCGACUCGGGGUG
RNAcentral lists this ribosomal RNA (120 nucleotides) under uncultured bacterium. Its description in RNAcentral is "partial 16S ribosomal RNA". It matches the Rfam family "Bacterial small subunit ribosomal RNA", at positions 1365 to 1482 of the family's 1533-position model. The record is from RNAcentral.